This 28-nucleotide small RNA is filed under the name Bombyx mori (domestic silkworm). Its description in RNAcentral is "piRNA piR-bmo-1473715". The record is from RNAcentral. Lineage: Eukaryota; Metazoa; Arthropoda; Insecta; Lepidoptera; Bombycidae.
UACUCGAUGGGCCUCUCCUGAUUUCCGU